GUGGGGAAUCUUGCGCAAUGGGCGAAAGCCUGACGCAGCCAUGCCGCGUGAAUGAUGAAGGUCUUAGGAUUGUAAAAUUCUUUCACCGGGGACGAUAAUGACGGUACCCGGAGAAGAAGCCCCGGCUAACUUCGUGCCAGCAGCCGCGGUAAUACGAAGGGGGCUAGCGUUGCUCGGAAUUACUGGGCGUAAAGGGCGCGUAGGCGGACAGUUUAGUCAGAGGUGAAAGCCCAGGGCUCAACCUUGGAAUUGCCUUUGAUACUGGCUGUCUUGAGUACGGGAGAGGUGAGUGGAACUCCGAGUGUAGAGGUGAAAUUCGUAGAUAUUCGGAAGAACACCAGUGGCGAAGGCGACUCACUGACCCGUUACUGACGCUGAGGCGCGAAAGCGUGGGGAGCAAACAGGAUUAGAAACCCGGGUAGUCC
This 425-nucleotide ribosomal RNA is filed under the name uncultured bacterium. RNAcentral's name for it is "partial 16S ribosomal RNA". It matches the Rfam family "Bacterial small subunit ribosomal RNA", at positions 354 to 796 of the family's 1533-position model. The record is from RNAcentral.